This 465-nucleotide ribosomal RNA is filed under the name Vreelandella stevensii. RNAcentral describes it as "partial 16S ribosomal RNA". It matches the Rfam family "Bacterial small subunit ribosomal RNA", at positions 338 to 795 of the family's 1533-position model. Lineage: Bacteria; Pseudomonadati; Pseudomonadota; Gammaproteobacteria; Oceanospirillales; Halomonadaceae. The record is from RNAcentral.
CCUACGUGGGGCAGCAGUGGGGAAUAUUGGACAAUGGGCGAAAGCCUGAUCCAGCCAUGCCGCGUGUGUGAAGAAGGCCUUCGGGUUGUAAAGCACUUUCAGUGGGGAAGAAAGCCUUGGGGCUAAUACCCUCGAGGAAGGACAUCACCCACAGAAGAAGCACCGGCUAACUCCGUGCCAGCAGCCGCGGUAAUACGGAGGGUGCGAGCGUUAAUCGGAAUUACUGGGCGUAAAGCGCGCGUAGGCGGUCUGAUAAGCCGGUUGUGAAAGCCCCGGGCUCAACCUGGGAACGGCAUCCGGAACUGUCAGGCUAGAGAGCAGGAGGGGAAGGUAGAAUUCACGGUGUAGCGGUGAAAUGCGUAGAGCACGGGAGGAAUACCAGUGGCGAAGGCGGCCUGCUGGACUGACACUGACGCUGGGGUGCGAAAGCGUGGGUAGCAAACAGGAUUAGAUACCCCAGUAGUC